UUUCCACUGACGAGUCCCAAAAUAGGACGAAGCGCGCGUCCUGAAU
Molecule: non-coding RNA, 46 nt
Organism: Schistosoma haematobium
Lineage: Eukaryota; Metazoa; Platyhelminthes; Trematoda; Strigeidida; Schistosomatidae
Source: Rfam